This 386-nucleotide long non-coding RNA is filed under the name Olea europaea (common olive). Its description in RNAcentral is "long non-coding RNA (OEUR_LNC015605)". The record is from RNAcentral. Lineage: Eukaryota; Viridiplantae; Streptophyta; Magnoliopsida; Lamiales; Oleaceae.
UUUUUUUUUUUUUUUUUUUUUUUUUUUCCCUAACCGAAUUCACCGUCUUAGGGUGGCACCAACUAUUAGAGAUUGGAAAAACAGGUGCUUAUUGGUAUUUUUGGGCGUUGGUUAAACCAUUGAUCAUAUUUCUCAUUCCAUAAAAUUUGUGAAUUUUAAUGUUUCUCACAAUCUCUUUAAUUUUACCCUCUAUAGAAUAAUUCAAUAAAUGAAAAUACAAUAACUUUAUAUAUAUAUAUAACUAAAAGAUUAACUUAUAAGAUAAAAAUCCAUUUCUGUAUAAAAUACUAAGACGAUAAUUCAUUUAUAAAAUAUUAAUCACUUACUAAUAAAAAUUCACUUAUGUGAAAACAAAAUUGAUUUAUAAAAUAUUAAACAUUAAAAUU